This is a long non-coding RNA of Poecilia reticulata (guppy), 1624 nucleotides long. RefSeq lists it as uncharacterized. The record is from RefSeq and is a predicted model, not a curated record. Lineage: Eukaryota; Metazoa; Chordata; Actinopteri; Cyprinodontiformes; Poeciliidae.
UUCUGCGGCGGUGUAGGCUUUAGAAUAUGCCUAAAUGCGGCCAACUUUAAUCUUGCGCUGAGAUUCCUUUAAUAAUGAAAGAAAAAAAUCAUUUUGAAAAUAUGGAUAUUAAAUAUCACAACGAUGGAGCAGGAAUUCAACUUUUUUUUUAUUUUUACUAAAAAAUAUCUUAAAAGAAAACUUGGGAUUGAGUGUGUGAGGCGAAACACUUGUCACUAUAACCUCUGAGAUCUAAAAGCAGGUAAGCCACUGACUAACGCACAUUGUGCCAGUUGCCAGUUCCACUGUGCGUGUGACAGCGGCUAACCUGGUUUUUGGGAAUACCGCUCACUCCGCCUCGCCUCCAGACCAGCUUCAGCCGGACAAGGCUGACACCUAUAUGUACAUGCUGUUCUUUAUCAUGUCCUGUGCGCUGCUGGGAAAGGCCCGAUCCACUCGAAUGCCCUCCCAGUGGUCUCCACUUGUACUGAGGCGAACUUCCUCCUGUGCUGACAUACCUUAUUUAGGACCCAGGUGGCUUUUUUGCUUUGCCAUCGGUUGUGGCUGUUGGUGAGUUGCGUUUCAGUUUCUUUUUCAUAAUUGUGGGAUUGAUCAGUUUUCUUCUCAGCAAUGACAAAAGUUUGGGGUCUCUGGGUCUCCAGAAGGCGAGGUUAUUGUCACAUCAGUGGAAGGUUUUGAUAUGAGCGAAAUGGGUUUUCGUCUAGGGCUGGGUGGAGUGUGAAGAGGACGAUGCAGUUAAAAUAGUUAUUUUGUCAAAAAUUAGAUUGAUGUCCAAUUCUUGUCUUAUGAUUCUGUGGUAAUAAAAGGGCUAUGUCAGUGUUUUCUUUUUUUAAUGCAUCAGGAAUUUUUGGUAUAAUUUUCUUUAGUACAAGAAAUACUAAACAAUUCUGGUACAUAAAAAUACUGUUUAGUCCGAAAAUUGAAUUUUUUUAUUUUUUUUUGCUCUGAACAUUGAUUCUAUACAGCCAGCCCAAUUUGAGAUUUGUGAAAACUUUACUCUUUUUUUUGUUUUUGGGGAGGGGACUCAUUUUAAAACACUGCUUUUAAUACUUCCAUAGCACGAGAACUCGCCUAAUUUGAGACACAGCCUAAAUGCACGAAUCUGGACUGUAUCUACACUAAGUACAGUUUCUUUAAAGCAGACUUUGUGAGGGCAGCGGUAGAGCGGACCCAUCUGAAGAAGCCGUCAGGCUUCGGCACAGCCAUGUGGGGUUCAACUCCUGACCUCAGGAGCUUCGCUGGAAGUUUUUACUCUUGUUUCCCCAUCUUAUCUGAAUUCUCCAAAUAAAGACCACUGAUGAUAUAUUGAUUUAUGUAAAAGAGUAUAGUUUUCACAAAAUCUAUCUAAAUCUCUUUAAAAUGUAUCAGUCAAGACCAUCCAAAUGCUCUAAUAUAUGACGUUUUUUUGUCUUUGGUUGUGUGUGGGGUGGGGGCUUGCCCAGGGUGCCAUCCAUGCUUGUUCCACAAAAGCGCUGAAGUUAACUUCAGAAUGUAGUUUUUUUUCCUGACUUUUGAAUUCAUGUAAAAGAAUAUUCACUUAAUUUCUGAGCAACGUCAUAUCGUUUGUGCAUAAAGUGUAUUUGUAUGCGCAUAAAGUGAGAAGUAAAGUUGUGACUUAAACAUU